RNAcentral lists this non-coding RNA (24 nucleotides) under Mus musculus (house mouse). Lineage: Eukaryota; Metazoa; Chordata; Mammalia; Rodentia; Muridae. The record is from RNAcentral.
UGCUGAUGACGUCUGUCCCUGGGC